AUGCAGGGCAUCGUCAUCAGGCGCGCGCUCUGCCCGGCCAAGCUCCACCGCCACGUCCCGUCCAGCCUAUCCAGAGGCCUUUGCUUCCGCGGCGGCAGCGACACACGGUGCGGCGCCGCUGCGGGCAAGAGGCCGCGGGCCGUCGCGGUGAGAGCUCGCGGCGGCCCGGUGGCAGGAGAUGGCGACCGAGCGCCGCCGCUGCAGGAUGCCGUCGGAGCGUCACCGCCACCACGAGGUGGCGGGGCGAAGAGAGGGAGCGUGGCUGGUGCCGCUGCGCUCAUAGUGGGGACAAGCAUCGGGUCAGGCAUCCUUGCCGUGCCGCAGAGCACCGCGCCCGCGGGUUUCGUUCCAAGCGCCGUGUGCAUGGUGGUCUGCUGGGCCUUCCUGGUGGCCGAAGCGCUCCUCAUCGCCGAGAUCAACGUCCACCUGCGUCGGAAGAGCAAGAAAGACGGCGGCGAUGGCGCAGGCCUGGAGGUGAUAUCCAUGAAGAGCAUGGCGCAGGCGACGCUUGGCGAGUGGGGAGGGAACCUGGCCGCCACCGCCUACCUGUUCCUGUCCUACACUUCCAUGGUCGCCUACACGUCCAAGUCCGGCGAGGUGCUCUCCCGCGCGAUCGGCGUGCCCGAGCCCGUCUCUGGCGCCGCCUUCACCGCCGCCCUCGCGCUCCUCAUCGCCGCCGGUGGCACGGGCGUCACGGCCAAAGUGAACCAAGUGCUCACCUUCUUCAUGAUAGGGCUACUGCUGACGAUUGAAGUCUCUGCGGUGGCGUUCGGCGGCGGCCUGAGCCUGCCAGCGAACGCCCACUGGGAGCAGGUUCCAGCGACGCUGCCGGUGAUCAUCUUCACGCUGGUCUACCACGACAUCGCGCCAGUGAUCUGCGCGUACCUGGAGGGGGACCUCGCGAGGAUCCGGCUCUCCAUCCUCGUCGGGAGCCUGGUGCCGCUCGUCUCCCUGCUCGUGUGGGACGACGUCGCGCUCACCCUCUCCGCCUCCUCCACGGACCCCAACGGCCUCGGCAUCCUCGACAUGCUGGAGACAGAGUGGAGCUACGCGGUGGUCGAGACCUUCUCGCUCCUGGCUGUCGGGACGUCUCUCAUCGGGACCCUGCUUGCAGCGUCGCAGUUCUUCAUCGAGCAGAUGACCACCAGUCUAUCCUCAGCCGAGGGAGAUGCACAGAUUGACGAGGACGCUUCUGAGGAAGAAGGAUCUAGCCAGCUUGGCUGGCCAACAUUGCUGGAAAGCAACAGGCUCAGCUUCGUUGCCACAGGGGUGGUGGUUGUCCCAACCAUGCUCAUAGCAGCUGCUGUUCCAGAUUCAUUCUCCAUAGCCACUGACAUCGCCGGGGGCUACUGCAUGACCAUCUUGUACGGUGUUCUCCCCCCAUUGAUGGCCUGGUCUAUUGGCUCCAAAUUAUCCGAUCAAAAAGUUGGGCUUGGACAAGUAGAAGCAGCAUCCACGGCUGGCAAAGAAAGAGUGAACUUCACCGGUGCAACUGCAAAGCCUGUGCUGGUGGGGAUGGGGGUGUUCUCUGUGCUCAUGGUCUUCCAGCAAAUCUUGCAAGACCUUGUCAGUUUUAACACUUAUCUCCUGUCAUGGACUAGCUAG
This 1605-nucleotide ribosomal RNA is filed under the name Triticum aestivum (bread wheat). RNAcentral describes it as "partial small subunit ribosomal RNA". The record is from RNAcentral. Lineage: Eukaryota; Viridiplantae; Streptophyta; Magnoliopsida; Poales; Poaceae.